Acomys russatus (golden spiny mouse) is the source of this 89-nucleotide small nucleolar RNA. RefSeq annotates it as small nucleolar RNA SNORA49. The record is from RefSeq and is a predicted model, not a curated record. Lineage: Eukaryota; Metazoa; Chordata; Mammalia; Rodentia; Muridae. The transcript has a single exon.
CUUUCAAAAACAAGGAUAGAGGAGAAAGCACAGCUCUCUCCCUAGCAAGACUCUGCUUUCUUGUGGGGCCUACAGAUUGGGCUGGCAGC